UACGUAGGGGGCAAGCGUUGUCCGGAAUUAUUGGGCGUAAAGAGCUCGUAGGCGGUUUGUUGCGUCGGCUGUGAAAUCCCGAGGCUCAACCUCGGGUCUGCAGUCGAUACGAGCAAACUAGAGUAUUGCAGGGGAGACUGGAAUUCCUGGUGUAGCGGUGAAAUGCGCAGAUAUCAGGAGGAACACCGGUGGCGAAGGCGGGUCUCUGGGCAAUAACUGACGCUGAGGAGCGAAAGCGUGGGGAGCGAACAGG
Molecule: ribosomal RNA, 253 nt
Filed under: uncultured bacterium
Lineage: Bacteria
Description: partial 16S ribosomal RNA
Rfam family: Bacterial small subunit ribosomal RNA
Source: RNAcentral